RNAcentral lists this ribosomal RNA (497 nucleotides) under uncultured bacterium. RNAcentral describes it as "partial 16S ribosomal RNA". It matches the Rfam family "Bacterial small subunit ribosomal RNA", at positions 28 to 507 of the family's 1533-position model. The record is from RNAcentral.
GAUGAACGCUGGCGGCGUGCCUAAUACAUGCAAGUCGAGCGAACAGACGAGGAGCUUGCUCCUCUGACGUUAGCGGCGGACGGGUGAGUAACACGUGGAUAACCUACCUAUAAGACUGGGAUAACUUCGGGAAACCGGAGCUAAUACCGGAUAAUAUAUUGAACCGCAUGGUUCAAUAGUGAAAGACGGUUUUGCUGUCACUUAUAGAUGGAUCCGCGCCGCAUUAGCUAGUUGGUAAGGUAACGGCUUACCAAGGCGACGAUGCGUAGCCGACCCGAGAGGGUGAUCGGCCACACUGGAACUGAGACACGGUCCAGACUCCUACGGGAGGCAGCAGUAGGGAAUCUUCCGCAAUGGGCGAAAGCUUGACGGAGCAACGCCGCGUGAGUGAUGAAGGUCUUCGGAUCGUAAAACUCUGUUAUUAGGGAAGAACAAAUGUGUAAGUAACUAUGCACGUCUUGACGGUACCUAAUCAGAAAGCCACGGCUAACUACGUG